This 1337-nucleotide ribosomal RNA is filed under the name uncultured bacterium. Its description in RNAcentral is "bacterial SSU rRNA". It matches the Rfam family "Bacterial small subunit ribosomal RNA", at positions 28 to 1381 of the family's 1533-position model. The record is from RNAcentral.
GACGAACGCUGGCGGCGUGCUUAACACAUGCAAGUCGAACGGAAAGGCCCUUCGGGGUACCCGAGUGGCGAACGGGUGAGUAACACGUGGGUGAUCUGCCCUGCACUUUGGGAUAAGCCUGGGAAACUGGGUCUAAUACCGAAUAGGACCACGCGCUUCAUGGUGUGUGGUGGAAAGCUUUUGCGGUGUGGGAUGGGCCCGCGGCCUAUCAGCUUGUUGGUGGGGUAAUGGCCUACCAAGGCGACGACGGGUAGCCGGCCUGAGAGGGUGACCGGCCACACUGGGACUGAGAUACGGCCCAGACUCCUACGGGAGGCAGCAGUGGGGAAUAUUGCACAAUGGGCGCAAGCCUGAUGCAGCGACGCCGCGUGAGGGAUGACGGCCUUCGGGUUGUAAACCUCUUUCAAUAGGGACGAAGCGCAAGUGACGGUACCUAUAGAAGAAGCACCGGCCAACUACGUGCCAGCAGCCGCGGUAAUACGUAGGGUGCGAGCGUUGUCCGGAAUUACUGGGCGUAAAGAGCUCGUAGGUGGUUUGUCGCGUUGUUCGUGAAAACUCACAGCUUAACUGUGGGCGUGCGGGCGAUACGGGCAGACUAGAGUACUGCAGGGGAGACUGGAAUUCCUGGUGUAGCGGUGGAAUGCGCAGAUAUCAGGAGGAACACCGGUGGCGAAGGCGGGUCUCUGGGCAGUAACUGACGCUGAGGAGCGAAAGCGUGGGGAGCGAACAGGAUUAGAUACCCUGGUAGUCCACGCCGUAAACGGUGGGUACUAGGUGUGGGUUCCUUCCUUGGGAUCCGUGCCGUAGCUAACGCAUUAAGUACCCCGCCUGGGGAGUACGGCCGCAAGGCUAAAACUCAAAGGAAUUGACGGGGGCCCGCACAAGCGGCGGAGCAUGUGGAUUAAUUCGAUGCAACGCGAAGAACCUUACCUGGGUUUGACAUGCACAGGACGCCGGCAGAGAUGUCGGUUCCCUUGUGGCCUGUGUGCAGGUGGUGCAUGGCUGUCGUCAGCUCGUGUCGUGAGAUGUUGGGUUAAGUCCCGCAACGAGCGCAACCCUUGUCCUAUGUUGCCAGCGGGUUAUGCCGGGGACUCGUAGGAGACUGCCGGGGUCAACUCGGAGGAAGGUGGGGAUGACGUCAAGUCAUCAUGCCCCUUAUGUCCAGGGCUUCACACAUGCUACAAUGGCCGGUACAAAGGGCUGCGAUGCCGUGAGGUGGAGCGAAUCCUUUCAAAGCCGGUCUCAGUUCGGAUCGGGGUCUGCAACUCGACCCCGUGAAGUCGGAGUCGCUAGUAAUCGCAGAUCAGCAACGCUGCGGUGAAUACGUUCCCGGGCCU